GGGCCCGCACAAGCGGUGGAGCAUGUGGUUUAAUUCGAUGAUACGCGAGGAACCUUACCAGGGCUUAAAUGUAGUGGGACAGGUCUAGAGAUAGACCCUUCUUCGGACUCAUUACAAGGUGCUGCAUGGUUGUCGUCAGCUCGUGCCGUGAGGUGUCAGGUUAAGUCCUAUAACGAGCGCAACCCCUAUCGUUAGUUGCCAGCGGGUCAUGCCGGGAACUCUAGCGAAACUGCCUACGCAAGUAGUGAGGAAGGAGGGACGACGUCAAAUCAUCAUGGCCUUUAUGCCCAGGGCUACACACGUGCUACAAUGGCCGGUACAGAGGGCAGCAAUACCGCAAGGUGGAGCGAA
Molecule: ribosomal RNA, 351 nt
Filed under: uncultured bacterium
Lineage: Bacteria
Description: bacterial SSU rRNA
Rfam family: Bacterial small subunit ribosomal RNA
Source: RNAcentral